GCCGGGGUGAUGAAAUUGGUAAACAUAGCGGACUUAAACGAUUGAGUGCCCGGUCGGAAACGGUCGGUGCAGAACCCUUCAAAUUCGGCGAAACCCCUGAUGUGCGCAUCGAGGCAACGCCGAGCCAAGCCUCGCGGCAUCCGCGAGGAAGGUGUAGAGACUAGACGGGGGGCGCCUAAGGCGCACGGGCAGCGGUCACGCCCGCGCGCGACGGUGAAGGCAUAGUCCAGCGCACGAACGGUUCGCGCACGCGACGCCGGCUUUGAAAGAAGCAGUGUGACGAAAAUCCGCCGCCUUAACUGGCUUGCCGGUUCGAGUCCGGUCCCCGGCACCA
Molecule: transfer RNA, 334 nt
Filed under: Burkholderia cepacia
Lineage: Bacteria; Pseudomonadati; Pseudomonadota; Betaproteobacteria; Burkholderiales; Burkholderiaceae
Description: tRNA-Leu
Source: RNAcentral